UACGUAGGGUGCAAGCGUUGUCCGGAUUUAUUGGGCGUAAAGAGCUCGUAGGCGGCUUUGUAAGUUGGGUGUGAAAACUCCAGGCUUAACCUGGAGACGCCAUCCGAUACUGCAAUGGCUAGAGUCUGGUAGGGGAUCACGGAAUUCCUGGUGUAGCGGUGAAAUGCGCAGAUAUCAGGAGGAACACCGGUGGCGAAGGCGGUGAUCUGGGCCAGUACUGACGCUGAGGAGCGAAAGCGUGGGGAGCAAACAGG
Molecule: ribosomal RNA, 254 nt
Filed under: uncultured bacterium
Lineage: Bacteria
Description: partial 16S ribosomal RNA
Rfam family: Bacterial small subunit ribosomal RNA
Source: RNAcentral